UACGUAGGGUGCGAGCGUUGCCCGGAUUUAUUGGGCGUAAAGGGCGCGUAGGCGGCUUGGCAAGUGGAUGGUGAAAUCCCUCGGCUUAACCGAGGAACUGCCGUCCAAACUGCUUCGCUUGAGACCGGGAGAGGUGAGUGGAAUUCCCAGUGUAGCGGUGAAAUGCGUAGAUAUCGGGAGGAACACCUGUGGCGAAAGCGGCGCACUGGACCACAACUGACGCUGAGGCGCGAAAGCUAGGGGAGCAAACAGG
This 253-nucleotide ribosomal RNA is filed under the name uncultured bacterium. Its description in RNAcentral is "partial 16S ribosomal RNA". It matches the Rfam family "Bacterial small subunit ribosomal RNA", at positions 524 to 776 of the family's 1533-position model. The record is from RNAcentral.